RNAcentral lists this ribosomal RNA (504 nucleotides) under uncultured bacterium. RNAcentral describes it as "partial 16S ribosomal RNA". It matches the Rfam family "Bacterial small subunit ribosomal RNA", at positions 30 to 523 of the family's 1533-position model. The record is from RNAcentral.
AUUGAACGCUGGCGGCAGGCCUAACACAUGCAAGUCGAACGGUAGCACAGAGAGCUUGCUCUCGGGUGACGAGUGGCGGACGGGUGAGUAACGUCUGGGAAACUGCCCGAUGGAGGGAGAUAACUACUGGAAACGGUAGCUAAUACCGCAUAACGUCGCAAGACCAAAGUGGGGGACCUUCGGGCCUCACACCAUCGGAUGUGCCCAGAUGGGAUUAGCUAGUAGGUGGGGUAACGGCUCACCUAGGCGACGAUCCCUAGCUGGUCUGAGAGGAUGACCAGCCACACUGGAACUGAGACACGGUCCAGACUCCUACGGGAGGCAGCAGUGGGGAAUAUUGCACAAUGGGCGCAAGCCUGAUGCAGCCAUGCCGCGUGUAUGAAGAAGGCCUUCGGGUUGUAAAGUACUUUCAGCGGGGAGGAAGGCGAUAAGGUUAAUAACCUUGUCGAUUGACGUUACCCGCAGAAGAAGCACCGGCUAACUCCGUGCCAGCCGCCGCAGUAA